Molecule: ribosomal RNA, 231 nt
Filed under: uncultured bacterium
Lineage: Bacteria
Description: partial 16S ribosomal RNA
Rfam family: Bacterial small subunit ribosomal RNA
Source: RNAcentral
GAUCAUGGCUCAGGACGAACGCUGGCGGCGUGCUUAACACAUGCAAGUCGAACGGGGCGCUUAUGAUGGAGAUUUCGGUCAACGGAUUAAGUUGCCUAGUGGCGGACGGGUGAGUAACGCGUGAGUAACCUGCCUUUCAGAGGGGGACAACAGUUGGAAACGACUGCUAAUACCGCAUAAUAUAUAUGGACCGCAUGAUCUGUAUAUCAAAGAUUUAUCGCUGAAAGAUGG